UGGAGGACAGGGACAUAGCCCACAGGCCAAGACUGGGAACUAAGGAAGGAAAGGAGGUGUUCUGGUAGAUUGGGUCACGCAACUCAAGGGUCUGCGUGGCCUGAAGAAAGUCAAACAGGAUCAGAGCCUGGAUGCCAAUGAGCAUAGCAAGGACCGCACCUGCCAGGGAUUCAUCAUUUGUUGGCAGCCCUUGGUGGGAAGAGGAUGGCUUGGGCUCUGAGAGUCAAAGAAGUGGAGAUGGGGCCUGUGCUUCUCCUUGUCCUGCUCCUGCUUCUCCAGCACCAGGGACCAGUCUUCCUCCUUCACCAGCUGGACACUCACCAGACAAGUGCGAGUAAAACUGCACCUGAUGGCCUGGGAAGAAUAGCAGGAGUGACAUUGUUCCAUUCUCCAUGCCUCCUGUAGAAGCACCGGCACCAGUAUAAUUCCCAACAUCUUCUCUUCUGUAGUCACAUAGGCUGGUGGCAGGGGUUAGUGUUUUGUAGAAUCAUUGUGAAGAUUAAGAAAG
Long non-coding RNA from Urocitellus parryii (Arctic ground squirrel), 508 nucleotides. RefSeq lists it as uncharacterized. The record is from RefSeq and is a predicted model, not a curated record. Lineage: Eukaryota; Metazoa; Chordata; Mammalia; Rodentia; Sciuridae.